This is an RNA transcript of Hydractinia symbiolongicarpus, 1356 nucleotides long. It is a transcript of the gene named diphosphomevalonate decarboxylase-like, with no coding region annotated. The record is from RefSeq and is a predicted model, not a curated record. NCBI's taxonomy places the organism in Eukaryota, Metazoa, Cnidaria, Hydrozoa, Anthoathecata, Hydractiniidae. The transcript is spliced from 17 exons.
GAUCUGCCCAUUUAACACAGAAGUUACAAAAUAUAUUCAAUGACGACGACGGAGAAAUCUAUCAAGUCCAUUGCCCCUAUAAACAUAGCUGUGGUGAAGUAUUGGGGCAAGGAAAACGAAGAGUUCAACACACCUUUAAAUUCCUCUAUCAGUGUAACGUUACAUGUCAAAGAUAUGUGCGCAGAAACAGAGGUGGUUGCAGAUAGCAAGUUUAAAGAAGACAAACUUUUCUUGAAUGGCAGAGAAGAAGAUAUUCAGAAGAACAAAAGAGUACAAAGAUGUCUUAAUAUGGUACGAAGUAAACCAACUUUGAAGAGAAAACACAAUGAGGAUGCAACACCAAUCGUAAGGUGUCACAUAACUUCUGCAAACAAUUUUCCCACUGCUGCUGGACUGGCGUCAUCCGCAGCAGGUUAUGCAUGUCUAGCCAAAUGUUUGGGUCAUGUGUAUAAUUAUGAAAAGGAUCUAUCAGUUGUUGCCAGACUUGGGUCAGGUAGUGCUUGUCGAAGUAUGCUUGGUGGAUUUGUCAAAUGGGAAAAAGGGAAAUGUCCAGAAGGUUCAGAUAGCUGUGCUGUCCAGAUAGCAAAUGAGCAUCACUGGCCCGAAUUAAAAGUGAUAAUACUAGUGGUCAGCAGUAAUCAAAAGUCAGUUGGAAGUACAGAAGGGAUGAGACGAAGCGUGACAACCAGUCAGCUACUAAAGUACAGAGCUGAACACUGUGUUCCUGGUCAUAUCGACAAGAUAGAGAAAGCAAUCCACUCCAAAGAUUUUCCAAUGUUUGCUGAAUUGACAAUGAAGGAAAGCAAUCAAUUACAUGCUAUUUGUCAAGACACAUAUCCUCCUCUUCGUUACAUGAACACAACCUCUCAUGACAUUGUCAACCUCAUAACAAAGUACAAUGCAGCAAAAUUGAAGGCUGCGUACACUUUUGAUGCUGGAGCUAAUGCUGUUCUGUUUACAUUAGAUGAAUUUUAUGAGGAAUUACUUUCAACGUUGUUAAAGUAUUUUCCUUUUACAAAUACCGAAAUUGAAAGCUGGAUAAAUAUGCCAUCAUCCCAAGUAAAAGAACUAAAGACAAAGGUAUCUAUCUAUAAUGAAAGUUUUUAACGAUGGGAGUGUUCUAAUUCUUGGUUUUGUGGAAUUUCUCACGAAAGGCUGCGGAACUACCGGAUGUAUGCAUUCACGAAGACGCAUUACAACGUAUUAUAUGCACAAUGCCUGGGCCUGGUGCAUCAGUUGUUGUGAGUGACGAGUAACAUGAAAAGACAAAUCUGAAGAAUGAAUAAAGUUUAUUUAAUCAUUUUAUACAUAUCUGUAGAUAUAUACUUUUAUAAUUGAAAAUAAUUUCAAAAUAUC